GGGUGUGGCUACACUGACCACCCUUGAAAUAAAGACACCUCUUAUAAUCAGGCAUUAUAAUCAGGGGAAGUCCCAACUCAAUAGAAGCACAUGAAAUUAGCAGACACACUUCAAUAAACAGUUCACUUUCCAUAGUUAAAGUUAAAGUAUUAUAAUUUCCGCUAGAAUUUCCGCUAAUAACAUGUUUGCAGUUAUCCGUGUAUUCUCCCUAUGGUCGGACUAUCUUGACUGACUGUAUGUGCUCGCCAGAAAAUGAUUGUUAAGCAUUAAUUAACUAAUCGAACGGUAAUUUUCUGCACUUCCCUUAAAUUAGCUAACCCUUAACUUUCUCUGCCAUGGUGGCGAUGCAUACUUUAUUUCAAACUCUCACUCACACACACCAGAUCUUGUGGUGUGGGCGGGACCCUAAGGCGGUGGUCACAUGACUCAACCAUAAGCUCUUCAACAUAAUAAUGUCAUAAUUUACAUGUGACCCACAGUGCUAGUGAUAUGACCAUCUCCCCACCCCCCACACACACCCCCACACACACACCCACACACACCCACCCACCCACACACCACGCACAUGCAUCCAUGCAGUGUGUGAUAGGGCAUGCCUGACAGAGCGUGGUGGUCCGGGGGCUGACAGCUGUAAGGAGUGUGCCCUGGGAUAUGAGGAGGUGGAGGGAUCUUGCACAGCCUCUACUGUACUAACUGAUGCUGUACCAUUUGAUGUCACUGAAGGAGAUACCUCACAAGAUGUCCUCACUUCAUAUCCACGCACCAUUCCCUCAGGAGCUGGUGGACCGAGGACUGUGACCAUUGAGGAAUUGAAGGAACGUACAAAAGUGACCGACUCUCAACUUGACACUGAAAUUGAAGAGACUGACAUGUUGGACCUGGCAGAUCACUUUGACAAUGUGGAGACCUACCC
This is a long non-coding RNA of Halichondria panicea, 913 nucleotides long. RefSeq lists it as uncharacterized. The record is from RefSeq and is a predicted model, not a curated record. Lineage: Eukaryota; Metazoa; Porifera; Demospongiae; Suberitida; Halichondriidae. The transcript has 3 exons.